AAUGCACCAUUUUCUAAGUCGCUCUGGAUAAGAGCGUCUGCUAAAUGACUUAAA
Non-coding RNA from Salmo salar (Atlantic salmon), 54 nucleotides. The record is from Rfam. NCBI's taxonomy places the organism in Eukaryota, Metazoa, Chordata, Actinopteri, Salmoniformes, Salmonidae.